Long non-coding RNA from Canis lupus familiaris (dog), 1207 nucleotides. RefSeq lists it as uncharacterized. NCBI's taxonomy places the organism in Eukaryota, Metazoa, Chordata, Mammalia, Carnivora, Canidae. The transcript has 3 exons. The record is from RefSeq and is a predicted model, not a curated record.
ACGUGUACUAAGCCAAAGGGACUCCAUCACUACAGCAGUCUCCCGUCUGCCUCUGCACUUAUCUCAGAGCUGACCACAGCACCGCCCCGACUGGUACUGCUGUCCCUCCCACCAUCCUCAGCUCUCUGGAAGUCAUGUGGUCUGUCGGGGGUCACCUGAGUCAUGAACCGGUACGUGUGACGCCCAGCUCAGUCACACUCCCUGGCAGUGAGUCAGCAGUGCUCGUCUGCCCACUCAGACCAAGGUUGAUUUGCUGGGUAAAAUUAACGAGGCAUGAAAAACAAGAGCCCCAUCAGAUAACACUGCUGUUUUCUUGGAGGGAAGAACAAAGAGUUAUUCAUGUAAAACGGAGAGAUCCUAACCUACAAGAAUGAGGUCUGUGACUGCUUCUCAGAUGGAGACAUUCCAUGUGGUGUCCUGAAAAGUAUGGACUGUACUACCACAGAACCACAAAUACGACAGGAUGAACAUAGAGGACGAGUACGUGUUGCUUUUGAAGUAUUCCCCACCCCUCCCACAAGUGAAAUAUUCAUUCCAAGUCCAGUUCAGCAGAAGUGCCUCCAACAGAGAAGAGCUGCGAGAGAAUAAAAGCCUUAAGAGCUGAUCUUGAUCAUGCUUCUAUUCAAGGGCUCAACAUUCUCAGCAUAAAUCACAGGACGGUGGAGACAGGAGAGGGGGUGGCCAUUAUUACUGCUCCAAAUGUCUGCUCUCCAUGAAGCCUCCCCUCCACCCACCUACCUCAUCAACUCUGUAACUAGGCUUUGGGGUCAAUGGAAUGGGGGUGGAGGUGACACGUGCCUCCCCUGAGUAGAAGGCUUCCAAGUCAUCUGUUUCCCUUUGCCCUGAGACCUGCUGUGUCCAAUGAAGACUGCCGCUCAGUUGGCCUGAGCUCCAGGGAAAAAAGGCAGUGGACACAGUAGACACGUAAGUCAGGCAAGACACAAGUCUUUGUUUCUGAAGGCCAAAGAGAUCCAUGGGUCAUGCACUGUCACGGCAUGAUUAAGCCUAAGCUAUUUGACAAAGGAAAGAUUUCAAAAAUCCAAGUCCUACCCUUUUGUUUUUAUAGAAGGAAACUGUGUGGAGGAAGAAGAAUGACUGGCCCAAGGUAGCACUGUCCUUGUGGUCAGGGCCAGACAGACCAGAGCUUGGAGCUCUCCUUCUGCACAGCAACCACACAAGUAGUAAGAGUGGGAUCUGAUUCUCAACC